AGACCCUCAAUAACCUAGAAAGAUGUGAAUUGUUAUGCAUGUUGCACGGACUAAGGAGAAGAUAAACACUGAACUAGAUUUUUUAAGUCCGGCGUUAGGGAGGAGAGGAAAAAAUGGUCUGACAAACUCAAUUGAGGCAAUUCUGUUUAAAAAGCAAAACUCAUUAUUUUGGACCAGAUAAAUUAUUAGAUAACUUUUUGCAAAAUGAUAAAACAUUUGCAGCUUUAACAUUAAACAUUCGAUCUAUAAGGUUAUCAUACAGAGAUUGGCAAUUUGACGUUAAACAUAGAGAUUGGAAAGUAUGAAAUUGGACUCAAAUACCAAAUGAUAUGAUUUUUGCAAACGAGGGAGCAUUAAACGUUUUGGAAGGAUUGUGUUCUACAUACUUAGGUAUUGAUUGCUGAAUCAGAAAACUGCCGGGUCGUAUUUUUAAACAGCAUUUCGCCAUCAGGAAUGCCGCCACAAGGUAGGAGCUGUUGUUACUCUUCUUUCGCUCAUUCAACACUUAGAAAGGACUAUGGGAUGGCAUAAGAUUACAAGUCAUAAAGCUAUCGUAAUCGUAUUUGCGCAACUAACUUCCUACG
Molecule: long non-coding RNA, 584 nt
Organism: Lucilia sericata (common green bottle fly)
Lineage: Eukaryota; Metazoa; Arthropoda; Insecta; Diptera; Calliphoridae
Exons: 3
Source: RefSeq, a predicted model, not a curated record